ACGCGAUGAACCUUACCAGGUCUUGACAUCCUCUGACACUCCUAGAGAUAGGACGUUCCCCUUCGGGGGACAGAGUGACAGGUGGUGCAUGGUUGUCGUCAGCUCGUGUCGUGAGAUGUUGGGUUAAGUCCCGCAACGAGCGCAACCCUUGAUCUUAGUUGCCAGCAUUUAGUUGGGCACUCUAAGGUGACUGCCGGUGACAAACCGGAGGAAGGUGGGGAUGACGUCAAAUCAUCAUGCCCCUUAUGACCUGGGCUACACACGUGCUACAAUGGACGGUACAAACGGUUGCCAACCCGCGAGGGGGAGCUAAUCCGAUAAAACCGUUCUCAGUUCGGAUUGUAGGCUGCAACUCGCCUACAUGAAGCCGGAAUCGCUAGUAAUCGCGGAUCAGCAUGCCGCGGUGAAUACGUUCCCGGGCCUUGUACACACCGCCCGU
RNAcentral lists this ribosomal RNA (439 nucleotides) under uncultured bacterium. RNAcentral's name for it is "bacterial SSU rRNA". It matches the Rfam family "Bacterial small subunit ribosomal RNA", at positions 959 to 1397 of the family's 1533-position model. The record is from RNAcentral.